UGUUUGGAAAAAAAACGAAAUCUUUUGGUCCAGUGUAGAGGGCGUAGUCAGAAGAAAACGGCAACCAAUAGAAGUAAUACUCAUCAUCACUUCUAUUGGUUUCUGACACGUCCAUCAACCGCCAGCACUCACCCCUCCUCCCUGCGCGUUCACCGACUCGUGAACUUGACCGACCCCGCCCCCAUCAUUCAUGCACACGCGACAAGGCUCAUCAUCACUCGGCUAGUAGCAAGGUAACGAGAGUUAGCAGCAGGCUGAGCUACUUGGAAACUUUGGUGGCUUUUGCAGAGCUACAGGAAGAACUUUGGCUUUUGGAACACUAGACUAACCAUGUCAGGUUAACAUACUCCCUUGGAUUAUCAUCGGACUCGCAAGACCAGACUCCAACACGGGCUGAAAAUUUGAAAUGGGACCUGACACUCUUGGACACAGAUGUCGGCUACGGCAGCGGCUUCAAAUACGCUUUGGUGACCAUAUUUCUAAUCGAGAGUUGUGCGAACGAGCCAGACAAACCAGCUGGGAGGAGGACGGAAGCACCCCUUCUCCAUCCGCGUUCAGUUGCUAAAUACGGAUCCACCCCGUAGUGUGGUGUUUUCCAUAGCUGUUCCUUGCUCCUGUUUCACAACAUAUCAAGGCUGCCAAGUAAAUGAAGAAUGAAUCACCGCACACUGGUCAACAGCCGACAGGGUCCUUCCACAACCACAUACUUAUGCCAGUAAAAGCCACAGCUUUUCUCCUCCAAUCCAAGAAGCCUGGACUGCAGUCACCAUCUCAACACACCAACCAAGAGAAAGGCGGAUGGCUCAAUUCAAUAUGGAAAAUUGCACAAUAAAAGUUCCAGGACAUGAAGGCUGCAUACUGUGAACGUCAACCUUCAGGGCACCGUCCUGCGCAGAAGACUUUCUACCCUAAGAGGGAUGGCUGACCGCAGACACUCACAACCAGCACAGACGCCUCCAACCUCAAACUAGGCCCUUCACAGUUGCUGAACUUACCCACCUUCCCAGAGUUUUUGUGUGGUAAUGACAACUGUAAAUAUAGUAUAAAGUAAUGUAUCUAGUGUCAUGUGUAAUACAUUGUUUAAAUUGUCCAUACAUUUCAAUGACAGUAAAUAUUGGUGGACACAAUUUGACUGUGUGGCUUUUUU
Molecule: long non-coding RNA, 1147 nt
Organism: Engraulis encrasicolus (European anchovy)
Lineage: Eukaryota; Metazoa; Chordata; Actinopteri; Clupeiformes; Engraulidae
Exons: 6
Source: RefSeq, a predicted model, not a curated record